RNAcentral lists this ribosomal RNA (450 nucleotides) under uncultured bacterium. RNAcentral's name for it is "partial 16S ribosomal RNA". It matches the Rfam family "Bacterial small subunit ribosomal RNA", at positions 354 to 796 of the family's 1533-position model. The record is from RNAcentral.
GUGGGGAAUAUUCCGCAAUGGACGAAAGUCUGACGGAGCAACGCCGCGUGAGUGAUGAAGGUUUUCGGACUGUAAAGCUCUGUUGUUUAGGACGAAAGUGCCUGUUGCAAAUAGUUACAGGUAUUGACGGUACUGAACGAGGAAGCCACGGCUAACUACGUGCCAGCAGCCGCGGUAAUACGUAGGUGGCAAGCGUUGUCCGGAAUUAUUGGGCGUGAAGAGCAUGUAGGCUGGAAUCUAAGUCUGUUGUGAAAAUGCGGGGCUCAACCCCGUAUUGCGAUGGAAACUGGGUUUCUUGAGUGCAGGAGAGGAAAGGGGAAUUCCCAGUGUAGCGGUGAAAUGCGUAGAUAUUGGGAGGAACACCAGUGGCGAAGGCGGCUUCCUGGCACAAUACUGACGCUCAUGUGCGAAAGCUAGGGCAGCGAACGGGAUUAGAAAACCCUGUAGUCC